AAGCUUGCUUUCUUUGCUGGCGACCGGCGCACGGGUGAGUAACACGUAUCCAACCUGCCCUUUACUCGGGGAUAGCCUUUCGAAAGAAAGAUUAAUACCCGAUGGGAUAAUGAUUCCGCAUGGUCUGAUUAUUAAAGGAUUCCGGUAAAGGAUGGGGAUGCGUUCCAUUAGGUUGUUGGUGAGGUAACGGCUCACCAAGCCUUCGAUGGAUAGGGGUUCUGAGAGGAAGGUCCCCCACAUUGGAACUGAGACACGGUCCAAACUCCUACGGGAGGCAGCAGUGAGGAAUAUUGGUCAAUGGGC
Molecule: ribosomal RNA, 303 nt
Filed under: Bacteroides fragilis
Lineage: Bacteria; Pseudomonadati; Bacteroidota; Bacteroidia; Bacteroidales; Bacteroidaceae
Description: bacterial SSU rRNA
Rfam family: Bacterial small subunit ribosomal RNA
Source: RNAcentral